AUAUUAUUUCACCGGACAAGUCUUCAAAAUUUUGAAGACAAUCCUUAAUUGUCAUGAAUGAAAAAGCAAGAGUAUUUAUAAGAGGAGAUUGCUUCUCAAUUCUUGUAUGCUUUUAAUCUAGGAUAAAUAUGCAACUUACAAGUAGACAUAUUCAUAAGAGGCGAUGACUCUUCAACUUUAUUUUUUUGUAAACUUUUAAUGUGGGAGUGGGACAACUUAUUCAUAUUUAUGAUAGGAGGGAGAUAGCUAAAUUCUGUGUAACUUGAAAAUUUCAAUGUUCUACUUCUACAUUGACAAUGAACAAGAAUUUUGAGGAAGUUUUUAUUUAUAAAAGGAGCUCUUACCUACUAAAAGGAUAUUGGCUUGGGCUUGUAUGAUGUGUAAUAUUUGAGGUCAUCAAGUUAGUUUCUUUUUUUCUCUCUUUAAAUAUAAUUACUCUUUUUCUUAUUUUUUAAAGAAGUUUUUUGUUCGAACUGAACUGGACCAACGGGGACUGAAUUGGUAGUUUGGGUCCUGUCUGGUUCAUAUUUAGGGUGAAGGGCCCUUAAUCUCCAGAGGUGGGGUGUCCUGGUUUGGAACCAGGAACCAGUGACAGAUUCCAUUUUGUUACUGGCUCUGAACUGGCCUGUGGCCAGGUCUAAUUUAGAGUUUAGAUUCAAAGCAUUUGUCUGAUGACUUUUCAGUCAAAUGAGCAGCCAAUCUGGAGUCGGAAAAGUUCUUCAGCUUAGCCUGUUGUAGGAUACUAGGAUUUCAAGUUGCUCUUUCCAAUUUAUGUUAUUUAUCAACACCAGAGUUCUGCAUAUAUUGAUGAAUUCAAAAGCGUAGUUAUGCGUUCAAAUGUAAAAAAGAGGGAUUGCACUUCUGUUAAAUGGUGGCAAAUACAAACUCUGUUCAUCUAAUUGGCUCUGGAAGCCACAUAUGAUGACUUCAAUUUGUAAUCCUGUAUUUUUCAAGAAUAGGUAACAGCUAACAGCAUCCUUGAAGCUUUUCAUUGAAAAAAAUAAGGUUAGUAUGCUAAUUAUACUGUCCAUUUUUUGGCUAAUGAGUUCCUUUUCAUUUCUGUCAAGGCAUGUGUGUGUGGAAAGCCAAGAACACUUCCAUAGGGAGUGGCACUAGCACAACAAUAGUUGAUACCCAAUCAACUAAGCCUGGAACUGAUGCUCAUCCUCCUGAUGCUGGCCCUGGCAAAAGCUUUAGAAAUUUUAGAUUUGACACUGCUGGAAUCUUGCGAGCAAUGGAAGCUGGGUUUUCUUCCUGACGAUUGGCAAUGGUAACUCUUUGUAGAUGCUCCAUGGUUACAUAGAUGGGUUAGUGUUUCUUAUGUAU
Molecule: unclassified non-coding RNA, 1326 nt
Filed under: Hevea brasiliensis (rubber tree)
Lineage: Eukaryota; Viridiplantae; Streptophyta; Magnoliopsida; Malpighiales; Euphorbiaceae
Source: RNAcentral